RNAcentral lists this ribosomal RNA (548 nucleotides) under uncultured bacterium. RNAcentral's name for it is "bacterial SSU rRNA". It matches the Rfam family "Bacterial small subunit ribosomal RNA", at positions 355 to 896 of the family's 1533-position model. The record is from RNAcentral.
UGGGGAAUUUUGGACAAUGGGCGCAAGCCUGAUCCAGCAAUGCCGCGUGAGUGAAGAAGGCCUUCGGGUUGUAAAGCUCUUUUGUCAGGGAAGAAACGGUGGGGGCUAAUAUCCCCCAUUAAUGACGGUACCUGAAGAAUAAGCACCGGCUAACUACGUGCCAGCAGCCGCGGUAAUACGUAGGGUGCAAGCGUUAAUCGGAAUUACUGGGCGUAAAGCGUGCGCAGGCGGUUUUGUAAGUCUGACGUGAAAUCCCCGGGCUCAACCUGGGAAUUGCGUUGGAGACUGCAUGGCUAGAAUCUGGCAGAGGAGGGUAGAAUUCCACGUGUAGCAGUGAAAUGCGUAGAGAUGUGGAGGAACACCGAUGGCGAAGGCAGCCCCCUGGGUCAAGAUUGACGCUCAUGCACGAAAGCGUGGGGAGCAAACAGGAUUAGAUACCCUGGUAGUCCACGCCCUAAACGAUGUCUACUAGUUGUCGGGUUUUAAUUAACUUGGUAACGCAGCUAACGCGUGAAGUAGACCGCCUGGGGAGUACGGUCGCAAGAUUA